CAUAGUGUACCAAUUUGAUGAUGUGCUCAUCUUGCUUGGACAGAACAAGGAAUUUAGGUAUAACUCCACUCAUAUAUAGAUACCCAUCUUAUUUAUUCAAGCUAUCUUUUAACGCUGAGCUCUGGUGUCAUCCUAUUUUUUACUUCCUCCAUCGCAAAAUAAGUGUCUCAACUAUGUUAUUAUUUUUCUUCCAUUCAUUACUUAGCAUUAUCUUCUCUGUAUAUAUGCAUGUCAAGUUUGUUGUGUUUGAAAGAUGACUAAGAGUAGCAGUAAUAUCAUAUGGCCAGCUUAAUUAAUAUUCCAACCACCAAUCAUGGCUACUAACUACAAAGGAAAGCAGUCAUAUACUCAUAUGUGUACCUUCACUAAGAGUAGCAGUGCCUGGAGUUUAGAUAUUGCAGACUGUAGUGUUGUGGUCAAUAAAUCAUGUCAAAUGUUGUAGGGUGCUCGAAGUAAUGAGCUUGCUGCUGCUUCAAGGCUGGAAGACACAUUCAACUUCUAGCAUACUACAAGUUCUGAUGUAGCUAAGCUUUUCCACAUUGACCCUGAAGCCAAGUGCACCUCUGUAGUCUUUGUUGGAGCUGGUCGCCAGCUCCUCUUCUUCUUCGUCUAGCUUCCUCUCAAAGCUCACGCAAGAACAAAAGAACCCAGAUAUUUGGUGGCCGCUAUAUCACACAGCCGACCCUUUUCUUUUCUCUGUAUACUUUUCUCAAAGCAAAUAUGCGUACAAGUGCUUAAGUAGACUCACGCCCACGCAGCCGGGCCACACACUCGCCCACUAACUGCAUGCACGCACCCACUCACACCACUAACUAAUGACCUGAUCUUCUCCUAGAAUCACUCUAGGAACCACACGACACGGCCACUCAUGCAACAGCAGCUAGCAACCUCGGACAUGCAUACACAGCAGCCUCUCGCCACCGUUCGGCAUCUCGCCAUGCGCCAUAUCUCACGGCUCCUCGCAUCUCACCUCCUGCAUGUUCUCCGAGGCUCCACCUGAUACAACUACCUAUAUGCAUGGACAAGCAAACUAAUAUGCAGAUACAUGUGAAUCAAGAUUAACAAAGCUAACAGUCUUGUCUUGCUGAAGAAAUAGGAGGAGAAGUUGAACGUAUAAGGUAUUUUCAUCACUAACUUGGUUCAGCUUCCAGCAGCCUUUCUAUGUAUAUUAAGAUGAUUUUGGCCUAUGAAUUCGAUAUAAAUGUACCAUUCAUUGUGCUGACAGCUAGUUCAGAGUAUCUGCCAUUGCCGAAUUCAUAUCGGUUAACACACUUCCACUGAUCACGACCCUCACACACAGGAAAAUGCAUCUACGAUAUUUGAUAGUCCAGUCAAGAAAGAAAUCUGUUCUCGUCCUCCUCUAUUUUGCAAUAACUCGUUUGGUUUGCGUCGAUCCUUCGUGUCCUUUUCCUAUCAAUGCUGGUAGUUAUUCCUCUUCUUGAUUGUUUUGUGUGUUGUCACAGGCGUCGUGGCCGGAGGCCACGUGAAACCCACCUCCGCCGCCAGGGGCGACAACUAUUUCCUCUUGCUUCACCGCCUUGUAGCCAAGGAGAUCAGGCGUGUCCUCCUCUGCUGCUACGCCAGGAGCCUUCACCGGCUCCGAGACAUGGUGGCCAUCGAUUCUCCGACGCCGAUGAGGAAUCGGUUCCAUCAUUGACAUAUAACCUGACAAGGUAGCGGCACAGGCUCUCCUCAUCGUGAUAUGAUCUUAUUGUUUUUUGCUUGAUCUUGAUGUGUUCUUUGCUGCCCAUGUAUCGUGGGUUUAGUGGUCUGUUUUUUCCUACAUUGAGUCGACAUUCGUAGGACGCCCGGACAGGCCAACGACACCACAUGCUAAGUGCUUGACGUGGUAACGGGCUCCACAGAGUGCGCGACCUCUACGAUGGAGACUGGCCUCGCUACAGAGCACAGAUGUCGGCAUAUGCUCUCAUUCCUUGAUUUAUCUUUACUUUAACUACUCACUUCAUCUCACGGUUGCUGGGCAGGAUGGGUUUCGCUGGCGUUGUGGUCCAGACAUAAUAAUUCUUUGAAGGAGUGCCAUAGUGGAGUGAUGUUAAAAAAAAGUGUGAUGUGCGACCGAUUGAUGAAGUGAUUUCUAGCUGCUAUCAGGAACCAAGCUUAAUUGGUGACUGCACUCUUCUUAACCAAGCUUCAGUCUAAGGUAAAUGAUACUACAUAUUAUGACUCCUCUUUUUAAUCUCCAAUUUCUCGUGUUGAAGUAUUGCUAUUAAUGCUUGCUUGUACAUUAAUUUAGCUAUUGGAAUCCUUCGUCGUCUUCCUAUUUGGUUGGUAAUUAUUUGGGAGAUAAUAAGUUUGGGGUUUCAGGCACCUUGGUAUGCACAUGGCAAAGCAGAGCCCAAGAACAUGAUUAUGGACGGUAACAUGUAGUUUCAUCGCCCAUACUUACGGUCACACUACUGUACCUACAGUCACUCAUUCAAUUUUUUUUAGAGGAACUGCAUUUCGCCGACCUGGACGUUGAAUUAACUAAUUUGAAAGGUUCAGAUCAUAAAUGAUUUUUUGAGAUUAAAUAGAAAUGCCUAAAUUAGAUGGCAUAGUCGCUCCGUUGUUGAAGUCCGACAUUUGAGCAUCCUUUCCAGGACAUGGGUCGAUGCGACCACAUUGGACAAACACAGUUGGUUCGUAUUUACGGGUUGGCAACAGAAUUCUAUUGACGUAUCAUUAGGGGAUGACUUUUGUACUAUUGCUUGGCUAUAAGUUUUUUUGUGUCAGUGCUGAUCUCCUCAUUGCUGCACGGCGGUUUAGUAAGAUAUGUUUUGGACCGCUAAAGUUAUAGCAAGAUACUGCCAAGCCUAACACCCUGGAUGUAGGAAUAAAGUCUCUCCCUAGAGUGUAGAAGAUUCUGUAAAAGUAAAAGACGUUGAGGGACGAGCAGGACAAGGAAGACAAGAUGAUCUAGAUGGACAUCAGCAAUGAGGACUUCCUAUAAAUGAUUGAACGGAGUGAACUCACCUACCUGUUGAUUAGUACUUUUUUUAAUCGGUGUGAACUAGGUACUGUAAAAAUAUAUCAGUACUCUUUUCCUGUCGAUGUUAACUUGAUACUAUAAAAAUAUACCUGUACCAUAUAUUUGAGCCAGAAUCAAACUGAUUGUGUUUAUUAGUUAUCCAAAUUUCAGAAUUUUGACUGCAUUAGUUCUAGGAUGGCCUGAUCAUCUAUUCCCUUCAUCGCAAAAUAAGUAUCUUCGAUUUGGCAACUUCUGAAAUUAUUUUGACUGCAUUAGUUCGGAGGGAAUAUUUAGGAAUAGUGUCAGUUAGUACUCCAUUGGCUUUGCUAUUCCUAAUGUUAUUGCUUGCAUAAUAUUAAUAG
This 3330-nucleotide long non-coding RNA is filed under the name Triticum aestivum (bread wheat). Its description in RNAcentral is "long non-coding RNA (TAES_LNC003846)". Lineage: Eukaryota; Viridiplantae; Streptophyta; Magnoliopsida; Poales; Poaceae. The record is from RNAcentral.